Capsicum annuum is the source of this 2689-nucleotide long non-coding RNA. RefSeq lists it as uncharacterized. The record is from RefSeq and is a predicted model, not a curated record. NCBI's taxonomy places the organism in Eukaryota, Viridiplantae, Streptophyta, Magnoliopsida, Solanales, Solanaceae. The transcript is spliced from 2 exons.
GCAUAAUCAAGAGGAGAAUUCUAAGGUAUGAAUAUUGUUUGCCUUGUUCUUUUUCAUAUGUAUAUGUGUGGUAGAGGAUUAUAUGUAUUGGUUGUUAUUGAAAGGUGAUGGAAAUAGGGUUAUAAAUUUCCAAAUCACAUAGAGAACUACCGGUAUAAAUUUCCAAAUAUGACUCAAACAAAACUCUGAGACUUAGUUUUUCUAAAUCAAACAUAGAAAAUUUAGCACAGUUGAGAGAUUAUAUUCAAUCUUUUCUCUUAAAACACUGAGAAAAAAUACCAACAUAAAUCAACAAACUUGAAAUUGAAUUACUUGAAAUUCAACUCAAAGCACCAAGAAAUGAACAACUUACAAAAUUUUGAAGAGUUGUUGACUUCAAUCGAUUUAGGUUUUCCGAUUGUGGCUGAACUGCGCAAGGUAUAAGAAUUGUAGAAAAAUAUAUUAUUUUUUGUGGUUUUAUUUGAACCAUAUAAUUACCUUGCAUAGUGGAAAAUCGUGAUUAAAAAUAACCAGCCAAAACUCAGUUUCAUGUUCAAGGAUUUUUAUGUGUAAGAGUUUAAAAAAUGUAACUUGUAACUUUUGGAGAUAAUCAAAGCAAAUGGAUAUGGAAAAGAACGUCGAUAGAUAGAAUAGAGGAAAAACAAUAGCAAGAAAAAGUGAUAUGUGUCGUUAGGAAAAGCCAGAUACUUUGGAUGACAUUACACUUUUAGUGAAAAGACUAAAUUUCCUUAGAAGCAGGCAUGAUGACCUUCACCUGCUUCCAAGGAUCUUCUAUAUAUGUUACAUCCUAGAUUUUGGCCUUAGAAAUUUUUCUUGAAAUUCAUUCUCUGGACUCAAUACAACUCAUGGAUACGAGUCGUAUGCUGGGGUACGAGUAGUAUAGUCCUAUCGGAUGCCGACCAGUGUUAGUUGGUCGGAUGGUUUUGAUCACUGGAAUGGUCACGACUUAAGGGUAUGAGCCGUAAGGCUUGGAUACGAGUUAUAUGAAGGACUCGUAUGGUGGGAAGUGUUUGAUCCUCUUGGUGAUUUAUUUUGCCAGGGAUAUGGAUCAUGGGUAUGGAUCGUAUGUUGAGGUUACGAUUUGGUUGGAUGAGUCUUAUACUAGACAAUGUAUGAUAUAAGGUUAAGUCCUGGGUACGAAUAGUGGUAACCAAUCAUAAGGAAGGGUACGACUCAUAAGAGGGUCAGUUGUAUCCUUGUGAUGGGUUUGUAAGGGACUUAAGUGGGGGGUAUUCUGUACAUUUUCCUACAUACCCUAAUUAUGAUCCAUGACUUUUAAUACUUAGAAGGUUAUUUAUCCUAUAAUUAUAUUUAUUAACACAUCGAAAACUAUUCCUAAACAUUCAACAAUUCUCUCAAGAGCUUUUGAGGCAAGAGAGUUAGGAUUUCAACUUGGGAAUUGCUUUGGGGCUUGCUUUGGCGAUUUUCUUCCAUCAUCUUUCUCGGUUUAAGGCAUGUUUCUCUUCCCUACUUCUUAUCUCAAAAAAUAUGUGAAUUUUAUGGAUGUUUUCAUGAUUUCAAUGUUGCAUGGUUUAUGGUUUUCAACUAUUAAUUGAGGGGUUUGAUGUAAAUGGUUUGGUUAUGGUUUCCUAUGGUUUAAUUAUGAUUUUAUAUGCAUAAAUAAUGGUUUUUGGCAAUUGGUUUGGAUGGUAAUGGUUUAAUGGUCUUUAGAAUUGGUUUUGGUUAUAUUAUGCCCCCAAGGUGAUUGAUAAAAUGCUUAUAAAGAUAUAUUCAUUGCAUUGACUUGUUUAAAUGGGACUCUUGCUUGUUUUCGGCUUAUGCAUGAAACUAUAAAUGGUUUAAAUGGUUUACAAAGGUUAAAGGCUUAUUUAUUUUUCUUGUGGAGUACCUGAAAGUCUCCUAGGAGGUUAAUAUGGUAAACGAAAAAGGGCACUUGAGAGUCCCCUUAACCUAAAUGGUUUGUCUAUGGAUAAAUCUUGCAAGUAUGGUUGGUAUGAGGAUACCAAAAAUAAAUGUCUUUGGUAAAUAAAUGGUAAAUGGAUUUUGGUUUGGACAUGGUUUUAAUUUGGGCAUUAAUGGCGGGAUGUGUAACUAAGCCGUGGAAGGUGGGGGUUCCGGAGAAACCGAAACUGGAAACUCAUAUUUGCCGAUAUGAGGGGUCUUCGACGGCCAUGUACCAGUGUCACAUUUUAUAUUAGAGGGAUGUACUAGUCAUCCCAUGGGAUAUUUCCUGGUAGUACGGCUACAUGCACUGGGACCCUUUCAACCGGGGGAGUUGAACCCAUACGACCCAUGGGUGUGGUAAACGGCAAGGUUACACAACCCAGAUACAUGCUAGUGGUCACUCGCUAACCGAUCUAUUGGCGGUUGUAUACCCAUACUAUGAAGGAACCAACCAUUCUACUCCUCCUGUCUAGCACACAGAUUUGGUAUCAGCAUUUGGAUUAAAGUGGUGAGCUUUCAUCUUUUCGGAAGUCUCCAUUUCAUGAUAUGGACAUUCUUAGACAAUUUAUUUUCAUUUUGGACAUUGGUUUUGGCAAUGGUUGGGGGCAUGUCCCAACUGGAUAUUUGUAUUCUCUUGGAUAGAGGCUAUGUGGUAUUUCUAGGGGUUGGUAUGGGCGGGAUCAGUAUUCGUGUCGACCUUAGCAUUGGAAUAAGUUGGGAGGCUGGCAUCAUCGGACAUAAUUUCUAACUGAUCCAUCAUAUUACAUUUUGGGUUUGAUUGUCA